UCCGGUUUGACACCGGCAGUCCCCCUAGAGUCCCCGCCAUGACGCGCUGGUAACUAGGGGCAAAGGUUUCGCUCGUUAAGGGACUUAACCCGACAUCUCACGACACGAGCUGACGACAGCCAUGCACCUCCUGUGCACUGGCCCCGAAGGGCUGCCGUAUUUCUACGGCAUUCCAGUGCAUGUCAAGCCUUGGUAAGGUUCUUCGCGUUGCGUCGAAUUAAACCACAUGCUCCACCGCUUGUGCGGGCCCCCGUCAAUUCCUUUGAGUUUCAGCCUUGCGGCCGUACUCCCCAGGCGGGGCACUUAACGCGUUAGCUGCGACACGGAAGGGGUCGAUCCCACCCGCGUCUAGUGCCCAUCGUUUACGGCGUGGACUAC
RNAcentral lists this unclassified non-coding RNA (378 nucleotides) under uncultured bacterium. RNAcentral's name for it is "contains 16S-23S intergenic spacer region". The record is from RNAcentral.